RNAcentral lists this ribosomal RNA (1203 nucleotides) under Lactiplantibacillus plantarum. RNAcentral describes it as "bacterial SSU rRNA". It matches the Rfam family "Bacterial small subunit ribosomal RNA", at positions 37 to 1212 of the family's 1533-position model. Lineage: Bacteria; Bacillati; Bacillota; Bacilli; Lactobacillales; Lactobacillaceae. The record is from RNAcentral.
GGGCAUGGGGGGUCUAUCAUGCAGUCGACGACUCUGGUAAUGAUUGGUGCUUGCAUCAUGAAUUACAUUUGAGUGAGUGGCGAACUGGUGAGUAACACGUGGGAAACCUGCCCAGAAGCGGGGGAUAACACCUGGAAACAGAUGCUAAUACCGCAUAACAACUUGGACCGCAUGGUCCGAGUUUGAAAGAUGGCUUCGGCUAUCACUUUUGGAUGGUCCCGCGGCGUAUUAGCUAGAUGGUGAGGUAACGGCUCACCAUGGCAAUGAUACGUAGCCGACCUGAGAGGGUAAUCGGCCACAUUGGGACUGAGACACGGCCCAAACUCCUACGGGAGGCAGCAGUAGGGAAUCUUCCACAAUGGACGAAAGUCUGAUGGAGCAACGCCGCGUGAGUGAAGAAGGGUUUCGGCUCGUAAAACUCUGUUGUUAAAGAAGAACAUAUCUGAGAGUAACUGUUCAGGUAUUGACGGUAUUUAACCAGAAAGCCACGGCUAACUACGUGCCAGCAGCCGCGGUAAUACGUAGGUGGCAAGCGUUGUCCGGAUUUAUUGGGCGUAAAGCGAGCGCAGGCGGUUUUUUAAGUCUGAUGUGAAAGCCUUCGGCUCAACCGAAGAAGUGCAUCGGAAACUGGGAAACUUGAGUGCAGAAGAGGACAGUGGAACUCCAUGUGUAGCGGUGAAAUGCGUAGAUAUAUGGAAGAACACCAGUGGCGAAGGCGGCUGUCUGGUCUGUAACUGACGCUGAGGCUCGAAAGUAUGGGUAGCAAACAGGAUUAGAUACCCUGGUAGUCCAUACCGUAAACGAUGAAUGCUAAGUGUUGGAGGGUUUCCGCCCUUCAGUGCUGCAGCUAACGCAUUAAGCAUUCCGCCUGGGGAGUACGGGCCGCAAGGCUGAAACUCAAAGGAAUUGACGGGGGCCCGCACAAGCGGUGGAGCAUGUGGUUUAAUUCGAAGCUACGCGAAGAACCCUUACCAGGUCUUGACAUACUAUGCAAAUCUAAGAGAUUAGACGUUCCCUUUCGGGGACAUGGAUACAGGUGGUGCAUGAUUGUCGUCAGCUCGUGUCGUGAGAUGUUGGGAUAGUCCCGCACGAGCGCACCCUUAAUAAUCAGUGCAGCAUAGUGGGCACUCUGUUGAGACUGGCGUGACUAGCCGGAGCAGCUGAGAUGACGUCCAAUUCAUUCAUGCCCCUUAUUGAACCUUG